Molecule: long non-coding RNA, 414 nt
Organism: Microplitis mediator
Lineage: Eukaryota; Metazoa; Arthropoda; Insecta; Hymenoptera; Braconidae
Exons: 3
Source: RefSeq, a predicted model, not a curated record
AUUAUUUCUGCCAGGGGAUUCCAGUAUAUAUUCAACAAAAACAUAUAAAUACUCUGGUUACGAUAUAAAUUUAGUUAUAAGUAAUUCAAAGAGCAUCAGAGUUGCAAUAAAUUACUUGCUCAAGAUUUUUAAAAAUCAUCAGAAAAAAUGUUGAGAAUAUUUUUUGUUUUUCUUGUAAUUAUGAUAAUAAAUAUACUCGCUGCAGAAGGAUGUGGGCAGUUUGGAGAAGCAUGCAGUGCGAAUCGACGUUGCUGUAAUUAUCUUCACUGUGACGCAGAUCCUGGUACAUGCAUUGGAAAUAUUUAAUCUAAGCGGCCAUAAAUUUUCUAUUUAUUAAAGUAUUUAUUGUUGAAAUUAUUUGAAAAUUGUAUUUAGUAAACGAGAAAAUUAAGAAUAAAAAUAAAAGUAAUUUAA